GAUGAAGAACGUAGCGAAAUGCGAUAAGUAAUGUGAAUUGCAGAAUUCAGUGAAUCAUCGAAUCUUUGAACGCACAUUGCGCCCGCUAGUAUUCUGGCGGGCAUGCCUGUCCGAGCGUCAUUUCAACCCUCAAGCCCCCGGGCUUGGUGUUGUGGAUCGGCGAGCCUCCGCGCCCGCCGUCCCCUAAAUCUAGUGGCGGUCUCGCUGUAGCUUCCUCUGCGUAGUAGCACACCUCGCACUGGGAAACAGCGCGGCCACGCCGUUAAACCCCCAACUUCUGAACGUUUGACCUCGGAUCAGGUAGGAAUACCCGCUGAACUUAAGCAUAUCAAUAAGCGGAGGA
This 343-nucleotide unclassified non-coding RNA is filed under the name soil metagenome. Its description in RNAcentral is "partial contains 5.8S ribosomal RNA, internal transcribed spacer 2, and large subunit ribosomal RNA". The stretch from base 1 to 120 matches the Rfam family "5.8S ribosomal RNA", at positions 35 to 154 of the family's 154-position model. The record is from RNAcentral.